RNAcentral lists this ribosomal RNA (495 nucleotides) under uncultured bacterium. Its description in RNAcentral is "partial 16S ribosomal RNA". It matches the Rfam family "Bacterial small subunit ribosomal RNA", at positions 28 to 507 of the family's 1533-position model. The record is from RNAcentral.
GACGAACGCUGGCGGCGUGCCUAAUACAUGCAAGUAGAACGCUUAAGGAGGAGCUUGCUUCUCUGGAUGAGUUGCGAACGGGUGAGUAACGCGUAGGUAACCUGCCUGGUAGCGGGGGAUAACUAUUGGAAACGAUAGCUAAUACCGCAUAACAGUAGAUAUCGCAUGAUAUCUACUUGAAAGGUGCAAUUGCAUCACUACCAGAUGGACCUGCGUUGUAUUAGCUAGUUGGUGAGGUAACGGCUCACCAAGGCGACGAUACAUAGCCGACCUGAGAGGGUGAGCGGCCACACUGGGACGGAGACACGGCCCAGACCCCUACGGGAGGCAGCAGUAGGGGAGCUUCGGCAAUGGACGGAAGGCUGACCGAGCAACGCCGCGUGAGUGAAGAAGGUUGUCGGAUCGUAAAGCUCUGUUGUAAGAGAAGAACGAGUGUGAGAGUGGAAAGUUCACACUGUGACGGUAUCUUGCCAGAAAGGGACGGCUAACUACGUG